UGGAAUACUAGAACUUUGUUGAUAACAUGUU
Molecule: non-coding RNA, 31 nt
Filed under: Rattus norvegicus (Norway rat)
Lineage: Eukaryota; Metazoa; Chordata; Mammalia; Rodentia; Muridae
Source: RNAcentral